Molecule: ribosomal RNA, 405 nt
Filed under: uncultured bacterium
Lineage: Bacteria
Description: bacterial SSU rRNA
Rfam family: Bacterial small subunit ribosomal RNA
Source: RNAcentral
AUUGAACGCUGGCGGCAGGCCUAACACAUGCAAGUCGAGCGGCAGCGCGGGGGCAACCCUGGCGGCGAGCGGCGAACGGGUGAGUAAUACAUGGGAAUCUGCCUGGUAGUGGGGGAUAACUCUGGGAAACUAGAGGUAAUACCGCAUACGUCCUACGGGAGAAAGGGGGGGAUCUUCGGACCUCUCGCUAUCAGAGGAGCCCAUGUCCGAUUAGCUAGUUGGUGAGGUAAAGGCUCACCAAGGCGACGAUCGGUAACUGGUCUGAGAGGAUGGUCAGUCACACUGGAACUGAGACACGGUCCAGACUCCUACGGGAGGCAGCAGUGGGGAAUAUUGGACAAUGGGGGGCAACCCUGAUCCAGCCAUGCCGCGUGUGUGAAGAAGGCCUCGGUUGUAAGCACUUAA